This 493-nucleotide ribosomal RNA is filed under the name uncultured soil bacterium. RNAcentral's name for it is "bacterial SSU rRNA". It matches the Rfam family "Bacterial small subunit ribosomal RNA", at positions 27 to 504 of the family's 1533-position model. The record is from RNAcentral.
GGAACGAACGCUGGCGGCGUGGAUAAGACAUGCAAGUCGAACGGAACAUUUCAGGUAGCAAUAUUUGAAAUGUUCAGUGGCGAACGGGUGCGUAACACGUGGAUUACAUUCCGGGAAGCGGGGGAUAGCCCAGGGAAACUUGGAUUAAUACCGCAUGUGGUCGAAAGACUAAAGGUGGGGACCGCAAGGCCUGCCACUUCCCGAUUGGUCCGCGGCCUAUCAGCUUGUUGGUGAGGUAAUGGCUCACCAAGGCUACGACGGGUAGCUGGUCUUAGAGGACGACCAGCCACACUGGAACUGAGACACGGUCCAGACACCUACGGGUGGCAGCAGUCGAGAAUCUUUCACAAGUGGGGUCAACCCUGAUGGAGCGACGCCGCGUGGAGGAUAAGGUCGUUCGGAUUGUAAACUCCUGUCAUGCGAGAACAAGGUACUCAAGUUAAUAACCAGUAAUGUUAGAUGGUACCGACAAGAAGAAGAGAACGCUAACUCG